UAAAAUUUAUAAAAUUAGGUAGUAAAGAAAUUUCUGAAACCUAAAGAAUUUGGCGGUAUUUUAAAUAAUUGGAGGAACCUGUUAUUUAAUUGACAAUCCACAGCAUAUCUUACCUAAAUUUUAUUUGUAUAUCGUCGUUUUGAUAAUAUUUAAAAAUAAUAAUCAAUUUUAAUAAAUUUUUAAAAUUCAGAUCAAGGUGCAGUAUAUUUAGGUUAUAAUGGGUUACAAUAUAUCUAUAUAAAAUGAAUAUAAAAUUGAAAUUAUAUUGAAGGUGGAUUCAAAAGUAAGAUUAAAUUAAAAAGUUAAUUUGAUUAAUAAUUUAAAAUAUGC
RNAcentral lists this ribosomal RNA (330 nucleotides) under Paravaejovis confusus. RNAcentral's name for it is "partial 12S ribosomal RNA". Lineage: Eukaryota; Metazoa; Arthropoda; Arachnida; Scorpiones; Vaejovidae. The record is from RNAcentral.